CAGUCGCCGCGGGAAUACGAAGGGUGCAAGCGUUACUCGGAAUUACUGGGCGUAAAGCGUGCGUAGGUGGUGGUUUAAGUCCGAUGUGAAAGCCCUGGGCUCAACCUGGGAAUUGCAGUGGAUACUGGGUCACUAGAGUGUGGUAGAGGAUAGUGGAAUUUCCGGUGUAGCAGUGAAAUGCGUAGAGAUCGGAAGGAACAUCUGUGGCGAAGGCGACUAUCUGGGCCAACACUGACACUGAGGCACGAAAGCGUGGGGAGCAAACAGGAUUAGAGACCCGCGUAGUCCCUGUCUCUUAUAC
RNAcentral lists this ribosomal RNA (301 nucleotides) under uncultured bacterium. RNAcentral describes it as "partial 16S ribosomal RNA". It matches the Rfam family "Bacterial small subunit ribosomal RNA", at positions 509 to 807 of the family's 1533-position model. The record is from RNAcentral.